AUGAGAGUAAUGCAAAAGAUGGAACAAGACAGCAUUGAUGCAUACAAAUGGUGUGAGAGAUGGCCACCAAGAACCUGGAUUAAAGCAUUUUUCAAUCCAUUUCCAAAGUGUGACAUUCUACUGAAUAACAUGUCUGAAGUAUUCAAUAGCUGGAUCUUGGAAUCUAGAGAGCUACCAAUUAAGUCCAUGUUGGACAGCAUCACUGACAAGAUCACAACCAGGAUGUACAACAAGCAGAAGGAGGUGGCCACUGAUAGAAAAUGGGGUAAAAGAUUGUGCCCAAAAAUACAGAAGAAGCUUGACAAAUUUACUGAAUGGGCUGCUUUCUGCAUGGUUCAAGCGGCUGGUCAGAAAGUUUUCAAGGUGUCAUCAAUGAACCAUUCAUAUAUUGUUGAUUUGAACUGUGAGAGUUGUGACUGCAAAAGAUGGGAGCUGUCUGGGAUUCCAUGUCAUCAUGCCAUAGCUUGUGCUAGAGAGGAGAGGAUAGAUCCCGAGAGCCUGGUGCACGAAUGCUACUCAGUAGCUACUUACAAAAAAGCUUAUAGUUUCAAUAUCAAGCCCAUGAGGGACCAAGAGCAUUGGACAAAGAUGGAAGGAGUGGACGUGUACCCACCUGUGUACACCAAGGUGAUGGGUAGACCAAGGAGAAAUAGAAAAAAAGAUCCAGAAGAGAAGCUUGACAAGGAAGGGGGCAAGAAACUGACUAAACAUGGUGUAACCAUGCACUGUUCUGUUUGUGGAGCAGCAAAUCACAAUAAGAAAGGUCAUAAAAAGUGGGCAGAAACAAAUAGAGAGGCCCCAGUAGUUACAGAUGAUGAUUCAGAAGAGGAGUUUGAUGAUCCAUCCAUAAUUUCAAACAUCAUGCCACACACAGUUCAUCCAUCUAUGGAUCCAUCUCAAACACCAGGAUCAAUGGUUUACCUCAUGCAGCAAAUGGAGAGGAUGUCAUAUCAACCAGUCAUGGACCAUGGUCCUCUUCCUGAAUCUUCAUUUGUUACACAAGCCAGAGCUAGCAUUCCUCCACCAAGAGUGACAACUGCUAUGGCAAGUGGAAGAGGUAGGAGGAGGGGUGUUACUGAAGAUAUUCCGAAGGAUGUGCCUCAAUCCAGCCACCAAACAAGUGAUAAUACAGGAGGCAGGAAGAGGCAAGCUAGAGGAGGUGGUAGAGGAAAUGCUACAGGAGGUGGGAGGAGAAAUGCUACAAGAGGUGGAAGGGGAAAUGCUACAAGAGGAAAUGGAAGGACAAGAGGAGGAGGUGCAACAGGAGGAACUGGAAGAGGAAAUGGUGGAAGAGGAACUCUAUAUGACAAUGGAGGAAGGACUGGACCAGGGGAUGGAUUUUGGAACUUGAUGUUUGGACCUGAUUCAGAUAGGUCACAUGUGGCAGCAGAGGAAGAGCCAAUCACGCAAAAUGCACCAGGAGGGGAUGAGUGGGAUGAUGACUUCAUGCACAUGUAG
RNAcentral lists this ribosomal RNA (1458 nucleotides) under Triticum aestivum (bread wheat). RNAcentral describes it as "partial small subunit ribosomal RNA". The record is from RNAcentral. Lineage: Eukaryota; Viridiplantae; Streptophyta; Magnoliopsida; Poales; Poaceae.